Molecule: long non-coding RNA, 491 nt
Filed under: Equus caballus (horse)
Lineage: Eukaryota; Metazoa; Chordata; Mammalia; Perissodactyla; Equidae
Description: lncRNA (ENSECAG00000057312.1)
Source: RNAcentral
GUGGAUUUCCUUAGAAUUUCUUGGCACUCCCCCCACCAAACCAUUUUUUAAUCCCUGUUCUGCGGGCCCAGCUUCCCUUGCAAGCCUGAGCACACAUUGCUCCACUAUAAUAAUGACAAUGACAAGAAUAAUCCUGCCUCGGCAAGGUCUUUCUUUAUCCAGGGACCUCAUCAGCAUAGAAGACUGGUGUGAGAACCAAAUGCUGUGUUCCACAGAAAGCUGGGUCUCUUCUUCGACCAAAAGAAGUAAGCGAUCUGGAAAGAGGAAGCUUUGUGCUCCAAGAGGCAAAUUCUCAAAACUUCUGGGAGAUCUGCAGGGCAGUGUCAUCUCCAUUUUACAGCUGAAUAAACUAAGUCGGGUAAGUACGUGUGAAACCGUGCCUGUAGAAGUGGAAGGGUAAGAAGAGAAGAGCAGGUGGCAACUGCAGAGAUGUGUGAUGACGUGAGGUGGACAGGUUCUAACGACACAGGAUGGGGAGCCAUUGGGAGAAC